Molecule: transfer RNA, 76 nt
Filed under: Hyphomicrobiales bacterium
Lineage: Bacteria; Pseudomonadati; Pseudomonadota; Alphaproteobacteria; Hyphomicrobiales
Also listed under: 5 other names
Description: Rhizobiales bacterium tRNA-Phe
Rfam family: tRNA
About the family: Transfer RNA (tRNA) molecules are approximately 80 nucleotides in length.
Source: RNAcentral
GCCCGAGUAGCUCAGUUGGUAGAGCAUACGACUGAAAAUCGUAGUGUCGGUGGUUCGAUCCCGCCCUCGGGCACCA